This is a non-coding RNA of Ictidomys tridecemlineatus (thirteen-lined ground squirrel), 2957 nucleotides long. Lineage: Eukaryota; Metazoa; Chordata; Mammalia; Rodentia; Sciuridae. The record is from RefSeq and is a predicted model, not a curated record.
CCUGUCUGCAAGUGAAUGCUGAUGUCAGUUCUGAGGAGGAGGAAGCAAGUCAUGGCCAGUGGGAAGUCUGGGUGAUUGCUGGGAACACUGGAGGGGCUGGGACUAACAGUCUCAGGCACACACUUCAGCAUGACCUCAUGAAGGCCUGACUACCUGCCAGGCUAGGACCUGAGGCUGCAGGAAAGGCAUAAUCUCAGGGGCAGAUCCACCCUUGCAAACUGCUGCCAUUGACCAAAGUCCAGACGGGGUGUUGUCCUGCAGCCUGACCAAUGGCUACACACCCAAAAGACGUGCAGGCUGAGUCACCAAGGAUGUCUGAACUUCGCUCAGUCUUCUUGCACACACAGUUGUGAGGUCUGUGUUCAGACUGCAGGGCAGUUGACAAAAAGUGCCGUGGCACUGUGGGAGCCAGUAGGGCCUCCAGGGGGUGGAGACCCAUCCCACAACCACACAGCCUGCAAGUAGGCCAGGGCUUUGCUGUCUGUCGCCCGCACAGAGCCGUCUACGCAUCACUCUGUGAUUAAGAAAGGAGCCAGGUGGGUGGUGCACACCUGAAAACCCAACUACCCAGGAAGCUGAGGCAGGAAGAUGCAAGUUCCAGGCCAGGAAGACCAGGGCUCAGAUAAAAACUAAGCAGAGCUGGGUCCAGCUCAGUGGUAGAGCACCCCUGGCUCAACCCCAGGGCCACACAUAGAACAGGACAUCCAGGAACACGCCUGAACAUAACCUCCAGGAGGGGAGAGCAGUGACUGAGAGGAGAGUCGGCCUACCUCAGGCAGAAGAGCGAGGACUCCUUGGUGUGGCACGUCAGGAGGCUGUCGAGGAACCUGGGGACAGGAAGGCUGCUGGCAGGGGCAAGAGGGCCUGGCUCCACCUCCGGGAGUGCAGACCCAGGUUCACCCAGGUGGACAACCAGGGCAGCCAAGCCCAGCACAUGGGAGGCACUCAAGCGUGGGCCCUGAAAAGAGGGAUAAGUGGCAGAGCUGGUGACAGCCCCCCAGCCAGAAGGCUCCUAUGCUUGGAGGACUAGCCAGGCUGCCCAGCCCUUGGAGCAGCCCCCUGUGUGGCCUGCAUGAAGGGGGAGCCUACCUGGUGGUGGAGCAGCUGGCAGAGGCGGGUGAGGACUGCAGGGAGCAGCGUAGGUCCACACAGGGUCCUCACAAAGGCGGCUGCCCAGGGACCCUGCCUGUAGGUAACAGAGGUGAGGCCCUGGCCCCUCACAGCCCCACACACCACUCCCGCAGCUGAUCCAGGUGCAGAGGCCCACAAAGGGCCAGGUCAUUCCUCCACACAAGGGCCAAGGACAGCAAGACUUCUACAAAUCCCCACUUUUUGGAAGUCGGCCUGGACACCUGCUCCUGAAAGUCGAGCUCACUCCUGCCUGGCCUGCCAUCUUGAUGCCCCAGGACAGCCCAGGAUCACCCAAACUCCUGAGCCCUUACCUCUCUGGAGGGGCAGAGCUGGAGGCCACCAUCAGGCUCUGACAGAAAGCUGAGAGCAGGAGGUCCACCACCUGGGAGGGACAUGGCCACCAACGGCUGUAGCUCCCACCACUGGCCAUGGGAAGCAGCCUGCGCAAGCACGAGGGAGACAGCAGUGCAGCUGGUCCCGGGACCCCCACCCCUGCCGAUUCCAGGAUUCUUCCCGGACCUGGAAAUCAAUGCUGAGGAGCCGAAAAGGGUGAGCAGAGACUCAGGCCUGGGGCUACAGAAGGUGUCUGCAGCCGGGACUCACACAAACGGGCUGGCUGGCCUGGGCAGGGAGGGCCCAGGUCUUUAAAGCCUGACCCAGCUCCUGACAUGACCUACGAAGCAGCUGGUGCCACAGCCUGCACCCACCAGCUGCUCCUGCUGCUGAAGUUCUGGAGCAAGGACAUUGAGCUGAAUCCUCCCUCUGCCCUGGGGGCUGUCAUCGUCACCAUGCUCCAAGGCUGUGCUCAGUCGUUCAGAAACCACGGCCAUCUGAGCAGAUAUAACUGCAGGUAGAGAAACCAGUCAGGGAAGACAGGAAACGGGGUAGACCAGUGCUCAGGGGCUGACAUGGCCUCGCAGAAAGCUAAAAAGCCUCGGCCACCAGCUGGCCUACCCCUCGUGGAGGGCCUGGUGGCUCCCACACCCCAGCCAGGCAGUGGCAGAGACACUGAGCACAUGUGGUGUGGACAUGCUGGGCCUGCUUCCAUUGCUCCUUCUUCCUGGAUGAGCCUUCGGCUUCUGAAACCCCAGCCCCACCCUCCCACACGGCACCGGACACCCGGGGCGAGACGAAGGCCGACCACCCCACUCAAGCAUGCAAACCUGUGGCUCAGGAAGCAGCUGAGCUGACCUUUUCAGGUUCUGGCUCAAGAGCAGAACUCUUCACAGUGCCCUCCAAGGGCCAGGUCCUGGCCAGGCCUGGCAGCACAGGCCUGUGGUGUGACCACUGGGGAGACUGAGGCAGGGGCAUCACUAGAGCCCAGGUGUUUGAGUCUAGCAAGCCCAGCCUCAAAAAACACCACAAGAGCAUCCCAGGACCACCUGAGCACGGCUCUGAAAGGCUGCGUCUCCAGCCUGAGCAGGCGGCCUCAGGGAGGGGCUGCACCCCAGAGCUGCAGUGCUGCGGGGCUGUUUGUGUGACCACUGAGACUGGUCACUCUGUGUGACGGUGGGCGUGGUUUGUUCCCAGGGUGGUGGCACUGGUGGGUGGUGGUGGGGUACCCAGGGCAUCACCUCACAAGGCCUGCUGUGGCUCUCCAGGACACUACUGGGCCUCCCAGGAGACUGAGAGACUGUCACAAAAGCACAGGCCUGAUCGUCCUGGUCUCUCUGGCCUCCUGCUUGCCUGUGCCCUUCUGCACAUACAGUCAAGCCUUGGACUGCCAGCCUCCAGAACUAUGAACUAAAUAUCUCUUAUUUCUUCAAAGAUUACCCAGCGUUGGGUGUUUUGUUAUAGCAAGAGUAAGCAGCAAUAUGCUCAGGAAA